Tribolium castaneum (red flour beetle) is the source of this 2533-nucleotide long non-coding RNA. RefSeq lists it as uncharacterized. The record is from RefSeq and is a predicted model, not a curated record. NCBI's taxonomy places the organism in Eukaryota, Metazoa, Arthropoda, Insecta, Coleoptera, Tenebrionidae. The transcript is spliced from 6 exons.
CAGCAAGUCGAAUUGUUAAACUACAGAUUUAGUUAUUAGUAUUAAAGGUGCAAGAACAUGAGUUUAUAGGUGGCUACUUACCCUCCCUGUUGUCCUUUUACCCUUCAUCUAUGAGAUGGACCUUUUCUGCGCUUUUUAUAAGUGGACCGCUGAAAAACAUUUAUUUUCGACGAUUUUUCCAACAACAACACAAUGAUUUGUCAAUAUAUCUAAAGGCUUUAUUCGCCAAAAAGAUCGUCUGUUGCGACAUAGAGUUAGUUGGUAGAUGUACCACCCGGAGAAAUUAGAAGUAGAAGUGAACUUUCUGCCAUAAUGGGAUCUUCGGUCAAGUAUACUCGUAUCUUUAUUGGAAAAUAUUUCAACCGCAUCCGAUAUUCUCUAGGUAGGACAAUCUUCUCAUAUGUUCUGAGUAAUGGUGAUGAUAGAAGUUUGGGACGAUUAACCUAUAGAAGCAAGAAAACCCAUAACACCUUACAUGGGAACUCUGGAAACACAAAACCUACAAAAAAACCUUUUACUAUCGCCUUGGAGCUUGCAGCUAAAUCAGUGAGGAAUAUUUUUUGCUAAGACUCAACGCGCCAACAGCAAAAUUUAAGAUCCAUCAGAAAUCAUCUUUUGGAUUAUCCUAAAAUAUCCUUAAGUAAGUAAUGUAAGCAGUCUAUAUUGAAGAAAGACAGUACUGUUAAAAAAGCCACAUCAAGGACUUACAAAAAUUCUGACCUGAGAACUGGAUGUUAUAAACAAGCAGACACAUUAAAUAAUUUUUCACUACUGCUUACGUUUGCAAGGAAACACUUCAACUUCUUGGAAAUCACAACGAUCUUCGAGGGCUACCUAUGUUUUUAAUGAGAUACUAUUAUUAAUUUUAUUUUUAUUUUAUUUUGUUCAAAAAUAGUUAUUUGCAAAUUUGUCAUUGUUUCCUAUUCACAUUGAAAACAUAGUCAAUUCUAAAUAAGAAAUGUCAGUUUAAAUAGACGAAUGUGAAGCAGAUUUAUUGUUGUCAUUUCUCUGUUGCUUAUGCGUUGAUACACAACAAUAUCAGUAAAUCUGCUUAUAAUUAGUUGUGCAAUUUUUUGUCGGCUGAAAAAAUAUACAAAAAAAAAAACAAAAUGAAAAAGUAAAUAAAAAAAUGGGGAAAAAAUAAAAAUAAAACAAAGCAGAAAUGAAAAAUACAAAAAAUAACAAAAAAAAGAAAAAAAAAUACAAAAAAUUAAAAAUAUAAAAAAACAAAAAAUAUAAUACAAAAAAUGUCGAAAUAACUAUACGAAAAAAUGCAACAAAAUGUAAGACAGCUUCUAUAAACACUUAAUUUUUGACACACGUUUUUACAAAAUUGGAAAAUCAUUUAUAAGAUCAUUUUUCUGAGGUUUGUAUAAGCUGCCUUAUUUAUUUUACUCAAAUAAGUGAAAGAUGUAAUGAAAUUAGGAAAACGUUUUUGAUUUUGCAUUCGGUUCACAAUUCACAAUAAAUUGACAUCCUGUUUUCCAAAUUUCAAAUAAUAAGUGCUAUGUUCUUCUACCGGUAAUGUAAUACUGCUUAUUACGCCAAUGAGCGUAUUUUUGUAAACGCUUUACUUUCUGUGACUUCAAAAAUAAUUGCUCUCCGGUCUUAUAAGAAAAAAUAAUCAAAUUGUCCGGUUUUUGGAAAUCGUGUUUGGUCUAAAAAUCGCUGACAGUAACUAAGUGACUAAGCUUUAUAUUUUGUUGUAUUUGCGUUCAUUGUUUAUAUUAAUGUGUACAUAAUUGUUAACGAAGUACGGAAACAUUUCAUUAAUUUUUCAAAAUUUAUUCUAUAUUUUACAUUUUUGUUACUUUAUAAGAUGGAAAUUAUUUACAAUCAUUUAACAAUUCACAAUUGGUUUUCGUAUUUCAGUUCGAUGGUUUCCUUUUUUAUUGUAAUAAGUUCCAUUUUGUGAGAUACUGUUUUAAAUUUGUAUGAUACAUUAGUUUAGUUUCAAUAAAUAUGAAAUAUUGUGUUUUAAAAAAGACUGGAGAAUGUUGAAUUGUCAGAUUUUUGGAAAUUUGAUUGGACUAAAAAUCAAAUGACAAAUUCAUAUAUAUUUAGAUUAAGUUGUAUUAAAUGUUUUGUUAUAUUGGAUUUGUAAGAAAGCUAAAUUGUACUACAUUUAUAAAGAUCAACCAAAUAUGAAAAACAAUAUUUUAAUGGUCGGUUUAUGGAAACGUUAUUAAUUUAGUCCGCAAUUAAAUGCAUCACGUGGUCAAAUUGAACCAAUUUCAUUGAUCCAUUCGUGUUCUUAACUUUUAACAACGUGUUCAAUUUUAAAAACAGCUUUCUUUAAACCGGCUCUAAAAUUAAAUAAGUUAAUUUGAAACUUACUAAAAUAGAAAAUUUUACGUUUUUGACGUUUUUCAUUUUUCGUUGAUUACAAAAAAAAUCUGUCUGGUUAAACUACCCAAAUUUGUAAAAUAGAUUUUGGAACUAAUAAGGUAUGUUGAAGUGUUUCAUUUGACCCUACUUCUUUAAUCAAGUCAUCUAGAAUUUAUUGCUUAAGCUAAAAUCGACACUUGAUCGU